GAUGAACGCUAGCGGCAGGCUUAACACAUGCAAGUCGAGGGGUAACAGGGGAGCUUGCUCCCGCUGACGACCGGCGGACGGGUGCGUAACGCGUAUGCAACCUACCCAUAACAUAGGGAUAGCCCGAAGAAAUUUGGAUUAAUACCUGAUAGUAUUAUAAAUUCGCAUGAAUUAAUAAUUAAAGAUUUAUCGGUUAUGGAUGGGCAUGCGUGCCAUUAGCUAGUUGGUAAGGUAACGGCUUACCAAGGCAACGAUGGCUACGGGGUCUGAAAGGAUGGUCCCGCACACUGGUACUGAGACACGGACCAG
RNAcentral lists this ribosomal RNA (309 nucleotides) under uncultured bacterium. RNAcentral describes it as "bacterial SSU rRNA". It matches the Rfam family "Bacterial small subunit ribosomal RNA", at positions 28 to 334 of the family's 1533-position model. The record is from RNAcentral.